GCACAGAGGCCAGAGUGGGCUUGGGGCAGCAGUGGAGUGAGGCCACCAGCUGACUGUCAGGGUCUCUCUCCCCAGGUGAUGGGGAGGAAGUACAUCCAGCUGUAUUCCCCGCAGGAGUCAGGGGCUCUGUACCCUCAUGACACGCACCUUCUCCAUAACACGAGCCAGGUGGGCACUGGGGGUCUGGGGUGACGUUGCAGGUUCUCCCCACUGCCCCUGCAGAUGAUGACGUCCUUUGCUUUCUUCAGGUUGACGUGGAGAAUCCCGACCUGGAAAAGUUCCCCAAGUUUGCCAAGGCCCCAUUCCUGUCCUGCAUCCUGUCUCCUGGAGAGAUCCUGUUCAUCCCGGUGAAAUACUGGCAUUACGUGCGGGCUCUGGAUUUGAGCUUCUCGGUCAGCUUCUGGUGGUCGUAGCCAGGAUAGGAGCUGAAAGGGCCUGACAUGCAGACAGCAUUCAUCUGUUCACUAAUUUCCUGGGUCCUGGAAUCUAUAGAGACAAGCAGGACUGAACCUGUGUCCUGAAGAGCCUUCACUGCCCAGUGGCAGCCCUGGGGGGCUGAGCUCCAGCACUGGACAGGCACAGAGU
This 585-nucleotide small RNA is filed under the name Pan troglodytes (chimpanzee). RNAcentral describes it as "retained intron". The record is from RNAcentral. Lineage: Eukaryota; Metazoa; Chordata; Mammalia; Primates; Hominidae.